Molecule: ribosomal RNA, 301 nt
Filed under: uncultured bacterium
Lineage: Bacteria
Description: partial 16S ribosomal RNA
Rfam family: Bacterial small subunit ribosomal RNA
Source: RNAcentral
CAGCAGCCGCGGGAAUACGAAGGGGGCUAGCGUUGCUCGGAAUGACUGGGCGUAAAGGGCGCGUAGGCGGCGGCCAAAGUCAGGCGUGAAAUUCCCGGGCUCAACCUGGGGGCUGCGUUUGAUACUUGGUUGCUUGAGUGGGGAAGAGGGUCGUGGAAUUCCCAGUGUAGAGGUGAAAUUCGUAGAUAUUGGAAAGAACACCGGUGGCGAAGGUGGCGACCUGGUCUUUAACUGACGCUGAGGCGCGAAAGCGUGGGGAGCAAACAGGAUUAGAUACCCCUGUAGUCCCUGUCUCUUAUAC